GGAUCUUCAAUUAGACGGAUACUUUAAUUCAAGGGUGUAUGAAAUCUACCCCAAUGGAACCAUCACCAGUCCUGUCCAGGCAUACUGCGAUAUGACCACAAUGGGCGGGGGAUGGACGGCAAUCCAAAAACGAAUUACUGGAUCCCUGGACUUUAACAGGAACUGGACGGAAUAUAAAAAUGGUUUCGGUCCACCGGAAUAGGAUGUCUGUAUUGGAAAUGACGUAAUCCAUCAAUUAACAAAAGAAAACAACCCGGCCCUUUAUGUGUCCAUCACUCUCCAGAAUGGUACAACGCUUUAUGAAAUGUACGACCGAUUCUCUGUCUCCGACGAAGCAGGAAAAUAUCAACUCUUUCUUGCAGGACCUGCCACGGGAACUUUAGGUGACGCUAUGUUAGACACAGCUUAUUCUUCCUUCAGUCUGUCUGGGAUGUACUUCUCCACCCCAGACAGAGAUAGCGAC
Molecule: long non-coding RNA, 463 nt
Organism: Saccostrea cuccullata (small rock oyster)
Lineage: Eukaryota; Metazoa; Mollusca; Bivalvia; Ostreida; Ostreidae
Exons: 4
Source: RefSeq, a predicted model, not a curated record